This 406-nucleotide ribosomal RNA is filed under the name uncultured bacterium. RNAcentral's name for it is "partial 16S ribosomal RNA". It matches the Rfam family "Bacterial small subunit ribosomal RNA", at positions 29 to 526 of the family's 1533-position model. The record is from RNAcentral.
AUUGAACGCUGGCGGCAGGCCUAACACAUGCAAGUCGAACGAGGGGCGGACGGGAGAGUAAUGUCUGGGAAACGGCCUGAUGGAGGGGGAUAACUACUGGAAACGGUAGCUAAUACCGCAUUCCAUGGGAGGUGCCCAGAUGGGAUGAGCGAGGUGGUGGGGUAACGGCUCACCUAGGCGACGAUCCCGAUCUGGUCUGAGAGGAUGACCGUGCACACUGUGACUGAGACACGGCCCAGACUCCUGCGGGAGGCAGCAGUGUGGAAUGUUGGACAAUGGGCGCAAGCCUGAUGCAGCCAUGCCGCGUGUGUGAAGAAGGCCUUCGGGUUGUAAAGUACUUUCAGCGGGGAGGCGUUACCCGCAGAAGAAGCACCGGCUAACUCCGUGCCAGCAGCCGCGGUAAUUC